GAUGAACGCUAGCUACAGGCUUAACACAUGCAAGUCGAGGGGCAGCAUGAACUUAGCUUGCUAAGUUUGAUGGCGACCGGCGCACGGGUGAGUAACACGUAUCCAACCUGCCGAUGACUCGGGGAUAGCCUUUCGAAAGAAAGAUUAAUACCCGAUGGCAUAGUUCUUCCGCAUGGUAGAACUAUUAAAGAAUUUCGGUCAUCGAUGGGGAUGCGUUCCAUUAGGUUGUUGGCGGGGUAACGGCCCACCAAGCCUUCGAUGGAUAGGGGUUCUGAGAGGAAGGUCCCCCACAUUGGAACUGAGACACGGUCCAAACUCCUACGGGAGGCAGCAGUGAGGAAUAUUGGUCAAUGGACGAGAGUCUGAACCAGCCAAGUAGCGUGAAGGAUGACUGCCCUAUGGGUUGUAAACUUCUUUUAUACGGGAAUAAAGUGAGGCACGUGUGCCUUUUUGUAUGUACCGUAUGAAUAAGGAUCGGCUAACUCCGUGCCAGCAGCCGCGGUAAUACGGAGGAUCCGAGCGUUAUCCGGAUUUAUUGGGUUUAAAGGGAGCGUAGGCGGACGCUUAAGUCAGUUGUGAAAGUUUGCGGCUCAACCGUAAAAUUGCAGUUGAUACUGGGUGUCUUGAGUAUAGUAGAGGCAGGCGGAAUUCGUGGUGUAGCGGUGAAAUGCUUAGAUAUCACGAAGAACUCCGAUUGCGAAGGCAGCUUGCUGGACUGUAACUGACGCUGAUGCUCGAAAGUGUGGGUAUCAACCCAGG
This 759-nucleotide ribosomal RNA is filed under the name uncultured bacterium. RNAcentral's name for it is "bacterial SSU rRNA". It matches the Rfam family "Bacterial small subunit ribosomal RNA", at positions 28 to 777 of the family's 1533-position model. The record is from RNAcentral.